GGGGGUAUUCACGGCACCGUCAAGACGGCGCACCUUCUUAACGUCCUUCGGUGCUUGCUUGCACACACUCAAGCAGGCACCGAAGGGCGUUAAGAAGGUGCGCUGUCUUGACGGUGCCGUGAAUACCUUC
RNAcentral lists this microRNA precursor (130 nucleotides) under Chlamydomonas reinhardtii. RNAcentral describes it as "miR1152 stem-loop (cre-MIR1152)". Lineage: Eukaryota; Viridiplantae; Chlorophyta; Chlorophyceae; Chlamydomonadales; Chlamydomonadaceae. The record is from miRBase by way of RNAcentral.